RNAcentral lists this ribosomal RNA (265 nucleotides) under Aeromonas enteropelogenes. Its description in RNAcentral is "partial 23S ribosomal RNA". It matches the Rfam family "Bacterial large subunit ribosomal RNA", at positions 690 to 953 of the family's 2925-position model. Lineage: Bacteria; Pseudomonadati; Pseudomonadota; Gammaproteobacteria; Aeromonadales; Aeromonadaceae. The record is from RNAcentral.
GGGCGUCUAGUUGCAAGGUGUAGACCCGAAACCGGGUGAUCUAGCCAUGGGCAGGUUGAAGGUUGAGUAACAUCAACUGGAGGACCGAACCCACUAACGUUGCAAAGUUAGGGGAUGACCUGUGGCUGGGGGGGAAAGGCCAAUCAAACUCGGAGAUAGCUGGUUCUCCCCGAAAGCUAUUUAGGUAGCGCCUCGGACGAAUACUACUGGGGGUAGAGCACUGUUUGGGCUAGGGGGUCAUCCCGACUUACCAACCCCAUGCAAA